RNAcentral lists this long non-coding RNA (863 nucleotides) under Olea europaea subsp. europaea. The record is from RNAcentral. Lineage: Eukaryota; Viridiplantae; Streptophyta; Magnoliopsida; Lamiales; Oleaceae.
GUAAACAAAAGUCUAGGUUAGUUCGAUUUUACUAGUCGAGCACGAAUUUUCAACAUCAACCACAAGCGAAGAUUGACAUUGGCAAACAGUUGCGAGAAGUUGACAAUUUAAACAGAAAGAAAAAAAAAUGUCGAGCGAUUUUAUUGGUAAUUUACAAUCUUGUAUACAAUAAUAAUACAUAUAUAAGAUAAUCACUAACCAUCCUAUUCUUGAGCUAAAACACUAGCCACAAAGUUAUAAUCACAUGAACUACAUAAUCAAAUCUAAUUCAUACCAAUCAUUCACAAUCUUGGAGAGAAUUAUGAACCCACCCAUAUAAGAUUUUGAAUAUAAUUUCCUUGUAUAAAGGAAAUCAAAUCCGCAUAUAAAAGAGCUUCAUUAAUUUGUAAUUUUCGGCAAAACUUAUGUGCGUUGAUGGAUGAAGACAGAGCCAGCUCAAGCAUUACACAGGCUCCAUAAUUUGCAUGAGCCGCUAGAUCAGUUGUGUAAAGGGUUUGGCCCUCCCGGAGUGGUACGAUGUGAUACUGUAUAAACUGUGUCACCAUCUGCACUUUUAGGAGCUGAAAAAUUCCAUGAAAAUUGGUAGUUGAACUUGGUGGUGGAUGAUUUUUGCUCGGUGGAUUUCCGGGCAAAUAUUUGGAUGUUGCGGCCAUCGGAGAGGUGGCUGGCGGCGAGAACCGCCAUGAUCAGAAGAAAUGGGGCAGCGGCGGGAUAAUUAAUCCGCAUGGAUCAAGAACUGCAGGAUUAGCAGUUGAGGAUGGUUGACUUGAGACUUGAGAUCGAUGAGUUGUUGUUUCAGCAGUUGGGGUCUCGUGGGAGGGGUGUAUUUAUUAUGGCAUGAAGCAGUUAAUGGUGCAGAUAAG